AUCCAGUUGACGAGUCCCAAAUAGGACGAAACGUGCAUCCUGGAU
This 45-nucleotide non-coding RNA is filed under the name Schistosoma mansoni. Lineage: Eukaryota; Metazoa; Platyhelminthes; Trematoda; Strigeidida; Schistosomatidae. The record is from RNAcentral.